This 468-nucleotide ribosomal RNA is filed under the name uncultured bacterium. RNAcentral's name for it is "partial 16S ribosomal RNA". It matches the Rfam family "Bacterial small subunit ribosomal RNA", at positions 28 to 507 of the family's 1533-position model. The record is from RNAcentral.
GACGAACGCUGGCGGCGUGCUUAACACAUGCCAGUCGAACGGAAAGGCCCUGCUUUUGUGGUGUUCUCGAGUGGCGAACGUGUGUGUAACACGUGAGUAACCUGCCCUUCACUUUGGUAUAACUUCAGGAAUCUGUGUCUAAUUCCGGAUAGGAGCUCCUUCUGCAUGGUGGGGGUUGGAUAGUUUCGGCUGUGGGGGAUGGACUCGCGGUUUCUCAGUUUGUUGGUGGGGUUGUGGUUUACCAAGGCCUUGACGAGUAGCCGGCCUGGGAGGGUGAGCGGCAACAGGGGGACGGAGAGACGGCCCAGACUACUGCGGGAAGCAGCAGUGAGGAUUAUUGCACGAGGGGCGGAAGCAUGAUGCAGCAACGCGGCGGGCGGGAUGACGGCCUUCGGGUUGUAAACCGCUUGCGCCUGUGACGAAGCGUGAGUGACGGUAAUGGGUAAAGAAGCACCGGCUAACUACGUG